Long non-coding RNA from Gorilla gorilla gorilla (western lowland gorilla), 6080 nucleotides. RefSeq lists it as uncharacterized. The transcript has 3 exons. The record is from RefSeq and is a predicted model, not a curated record. Lineage: Eukaryota; Metazoa; Chordata; Mammalia; Primates; Hominidae.
CGGGUGGGGGAGAUGCGCGUGCGGAGUAGCGGGAAGCGACUGAGGAGGGGGGACUGGGCAGCAUUUGAAUGGAUGCAGGUGCCGCUGGCACCCGGGAAGACGCUGGGGGCCGGCGCUGUAGAGCCGGGCAUGGGCUGGGAUGUGUUUGGAUUCCAAUCCGGGCCUGACACCAGUUCAGUGACCUCGGGCAGUUCCCCAACCCUCCGGGCCUGUUUCCUCCGUCUGAAGUGGCGACAGUAAUAGAACCGACCUCGUAGGCUCAUCGGGAGGUCCUGAUGGGAGAACCCAUGCAACUUGCCACCAUAGAGCCAGGCCCGCGGCGGUUGGCGCCUGGUGGGUAUUAAAGACGAGUCGGGAAAGAAGAGCAGGGUUGAUAGACUGGAUGCUGCUAUGGUAAUCUGCCUCAGGAAAAUGCCGGACUGUUGUUUGCAAGCUGGUUAAGUGAGCAAAUCUUGGGAAGAUUUCAAGUCAUGGAAUAAGGCCAUACCCUGUGGGUAGGGUAUAAAGGUUUCCCUCUAUAUAGUAGGUGUUCUCAUUAUCAGUCAUUCAAAGAAAAAGAGAAUCCUCACCAGAAAAACUUGGAACAUGGAAUAGAUGGAAGGUGGCACUUCUGGAUAUGCCUUUUUACAUCUGAACUUGGAAGAGUUAAGAAUUGUUGAAGGCCCUUCUCACUGAUCAGGGGAAAUAGCUUCUGUCACAGAGCUGCCUACUCCAGGAGAACCAAAAAUGAAAGUAAACACUCAUAUUUUGUAAGUCUGUUCCUGAACUUCCGUCAAUCAAGUUUAAUCUAAAUCAAGGAUCCAAACUGAGAAGCAUUUAAGGACCAAGAAAAAGUUAAUUAGCCCAGUGUAAGUCAACAAGAAAUGAUAAGCAGUAUGGAGGAAAAGGAGUGCCACACCCUUCUAGGCAUCCAAAUUCAAGCAUUUACAAUGUACUUCAUGAAGCAGUACCCUAUACAGCACUAAUAACAGCCCAAACUUGCUUGACAUUUCUACAUAAUACAUUAUUCAUUAAUUCAGAAGAAAAAUAGAAUUCUUAAAACUCCUAACUUUAUUUUUAAUUAAUAUAAAGGAGGAACCAACAACAACAAAAAAUUGUGUGGGAGUUAGAAAAUAAGGACUAGGCGCCUGGGCGCGGUGGCUCACGCCUGUAAUCCCAGCACUUUGGGAGGCCGAGGCAGGCAGAUCACGAGGUCAGGAGAUUGAGACCAUCCUGGCUAACACGGUGAAACCCCGUCUCUACUAAAAAAUAGGAAAAAUUAGCUGGGCGUGGUGGCGGGCGCCGGGCGCAGCUACUCUGGAGGCUGAGGCAGGAGGAUGGCGUGAACCUGGGAGGCAGAGCUUGCAGUGAGCCAAGAUCGCGCCACUACACUCCAGCCUGGGUGACAGAGCGACACUCUGUCUCAAAAAAAAAAAAAGGACUAGGCAGGCGGAUGUGGGGUGGGGCAAACAAAACAUGGCAGCCAGCAGACCGGUCUAUUUCAGCAUAGUCUCUGCUGCAGUAUUUAAGAAAUAGGUAGAGCCAGCCAGGCGCGGUGGUUCACGCCUGUAAUCCCAGCACUUUGGGAGGCCGAGGCGGGCGGAUCACCUGAGGUCUGGAGUUCGAGACCAGCCUGACCAACAUGGAGAAACCGCGUCUCUACUAAAAAUACAAAAUUAGCCAGGCGUGGUGGCACAGGCCUGUAAUCCCAGCUACUUGGGAGGCUGAGGCAGGAGAAUCACUUGAACCCAGAAGGCGGAGGUUGUGGUGAGCCCAGAUCGUGCCAUUGCACUCCAUCCUGGGCAACAAGAGUGAAAUUCCCCAUCUCAAAAACAAAGAGAUAGGUAGAGCCGGCCGUGGUGGCUCACGCCUGUAAUCCGAGAAGGCUGAGUUCGGUGGAUCACUUGAGAUCAAGAGUUUGAGACUAGCCUGGCCAACAUGGUGAAACCCCAUCUCUGCUAAAAAAAAAAAAAAAUACAAAAAUUAGUCGGGCAUGGUGGCAGGCAUCUGUAAUCACAGCUACUUGGGAGGCUGAGGCAGGAGAAUCGCUUGAACCCCAGAGGCAGAGGUUGCAGUGAGUUGAGAUCGCGUCACUGCAGUCCAACGACAGAGUAAGACUCCGUCUCAAAAAAAAAAAAAAAAAAAAGAUAGCAGAAUGCUUCCUCCCGGUGCCAAGGGUGAUUUAUGAAAGAUCCCCAAGGAAAAGUUGAAUAUCAGAAUGAGGGUCAUUUUGGCAGUCCCAUCCCUGUAUGGAGACAGUCCUUUCGUUGUUACUUUUGGCAGAUGAGGAUCUGAGUUUAAGAGACCUGGUUGGUGGGGGAGGGGGGAGGGAUAGCUUUAGGAGAUAUACCUAAUGCUAAAUGACGAGUUAAUGGGUGCAGCACACCAGCAUGGCACAUGUAUACAUAUGUAACCAACCUGCACAUUGUGCACAUGUACCCUAAAACUUAAAGUAUAAUAAUAAUAAAAUAAAAUAAAAAAAGAGACCUGGUGGAUUUCCGUACAACUUCAUAAUUUCCCCCUAUCCAAGACCCACGGUUCCAUUUUUGUCACCGUGGCCACAGUGGCUGAAAUGGCUCACUUCAUUUUUUGCACUAAACAGCCUUCAGCCCCACACUGCACCGCUAAAUGGACAAGUUCUUUUUUCCCUAGUGUCUUAAAUUCAUGGCCUCAGUCUGAGGCCUUUAGUUUUAUACUGCUUUGGGAGAGUCCUCUUUACAGUCUUAGAGAUAUACAUAUACCUCUUACUGUUUACCACCUCUAAUUUAAUAGCAAGAAAGAAACUGGAAAUCUUGUAGGAAUACUCUGCUCCUUUUUUUUUUUUUUUUUUACUUCACUCUUGUCACCAGGCUGGAGUGCAAUGGCGCGAUCUUGGGAUCUUGGUUCACUGCAACCUCUGCCUCCCAGGUUCAAGUAAUUCUCCUGCCUCAGCCUCCCCAGUAGCUGGGAUUAUAGGUGCCUGCCAACACGCCUGGCUAAUUUUUAUAUUUUUAGUAGAGACGAGGUUUCACCAUGUUGGCCAGGCUGGUCUCAAACACCUGAACUCAGGUUAUCUGCCUGCCUCGGCCUCCCAAUGUGCUGGGAUUACAAGUGUGAGCCACUGCGCCUGGCCAAGGAAUACUCUUUGUUCUAUGCUACCUACUAGGACAGCUAGUCUACUCAGUUACCCCAAAACCAAAAGGAUAGUAACUCAACAAGCUCAGAAUACACCAUUCUGCUUGCAGCCAUUGUUUUCACCACUACCCCAUUUCCCCCUGCACACAUAGCUCAUUACCUUGUCACAUGUACACUUACUAUAGUCACAGCAGGAGCUAGAAUCUGGAGAUGUUACAUGCCACACAAGAGGUCAGUGAGAAGCACAAAACCAUACAUUGCAAAUGGGUAACAUAUCAGUGUAGCCAUCCAAGCAGAGGAUUAGGUAUGGCCUUCAUCUCAUGUUCCCAUUAGGCUCAGAUGGGCUAGAUAAUGGGGUUUUGCUCCUGUUUCCAAUUCAAAGAUAGUCAACCUGGGAGCUUUCUAACUCUAUCAUAUGUAUUUCAUUUGUUUCACCAGUUACUCAUUUGAUCAACCCAGGGAAGACCAUAUCAUGAAUGAAACACAGCCCAAGUAUGCUUUAACCAUAACGUGGGAGUGCAUAAUUCAGGCUACCAAGACCAUUUAACAGAAUCCAGUGGAAUGAGGGAAGUCUGGACUACAGGAGUUAGUGGGGGAAUUCUCAGUCACUGGAACCAUGCUUCUAAACAAAGGCCUUCACCAAGAACCUAGGGCAAUCUUAUUCCAUCUGCCAGAACUUAUAGGGAUAUCACUAAAUUAUGCUUAGUCAAAAUUGGGUAAUUUGUAGUUUAUAAAUACUAUAAAACUGAUAUUUAAAUCUAGGUCUACUUAAUUCCUAGCUUCUGUUCUUAAGUGCUAGAUUAUUUUGAUUCAUUUAUUUUGUUCAAAAUCUUGAUGUUAUAGGAAAGGAUGGGGAUGAGGAGGAUGAUGAGGCAGGAAAAUGCAGAACUGUUUCAUAGUCCCAACGCUGAACCUUUGUACAGGCUGUUUCUUCUUCAUAUAAAGCACUUCUUGGCCAGGCGUGGUGGCUCACGCCUAUAAUCCCAGCUCUUUGAGAGGCUGAGGUGGGCGGGUCACUUGAGGUCAGGAGUUCAAGACAAGCAUGGCCAACAUGGUGAAACGCAAUCUCUACUAAAAAUACAAAAAAAUUAGCCAGAUGUGGUAGUGCGCCUGUAGUCCCAGCUACUUGGGGGGCUGAGGCAGGAGAAUUGUUUGAACCAGGGAGGCAGAGGUUGCAGUGAGCCGAGAUCGUGCCACUGCACUCUAGCCUGGGUGACAGAGCGAGACUCCAUCUCAAAAAAAAAAAAUUAAUUAAAAAAAUAAAAAGCACUUCUUCCUUCCACUUGGUAAACUGUGCAGAAUAACAUGGAGAUGGAGGAGAGGCAGGUAGAUUAAGGGGGAGCAGUUUUAGUAAUUCUAUGAUUCAGACCUCUUUUUAAUUCAGCUUUCCUGCUAAUUAAUGUAAAUUAGUAAGGUUUCUGCUGGGUGCGGUGGCUCAUGCCUGUAAUCCCAGCACUUUGGGAGGCCAAGGCGGGUGGAUCACGAGGUCAAGAGAUCGAGACCAUGCUGGCUAACAUGGUGAAACCCCGUCUCUACUAAAAAUACAAAAAAAAAUUCGCCAGGCGUGGUGGCAGGCGCCUGUAGUCCCAGCUACUCAGGAGGCUGAGACAGGAGAAUGGCGUGAACCUGGGAGCCGGAGCUUGCAGUGAGCCAAGAUCACACCUCUGCACUCCAGCCUGAGCGACAUAGUGAGACCCCGUCUCAAAAAAAAAAAAAAAAUUAAUAAGGUUUCAUAAUUAUUAUAUUUACCAACCAGGUUCUUUCUACAUAAUUAUUGUUUACCUUCUAAUAAAUUACUUAGAAAGGCCACCUACAAAUCCAAAUUAUAUACAAAACGUUUCAUUUCCUAUUUCCUUCCCAGGGAUGCAUAAUUACUUUGGAAAAAUCAGUGGCAGCUGGGCACGGUGGCUCAUGCCUGUAAUCCCAGCACUCUGGGAGGCCAAGGCAGGCGGAUCCAUCUGAGGUCAGGAGUUCAAAACCAGCCUGGCCAACAUAGUAAAACCCCAUCCUUACUAAAAAUACAAAAAUUAGCUGGGCAUUGUGGUGCACACCUAUAGUCCCAGCUACUCAGGAGGCUAAGGCAGGAGAAUCGCUUGAACCCAGGAGGCAGAGAUCGCAGUGAGCUGAGAUGGCGCCACUGCACUCCAGCCUGGGUGACAGAGCGAGACUGUCUCUUAGGGAAAAAAAAAAAUCAUUGGCUUGUAAGUUAAAAUCUUUAUCUUGCUCUACCUUCUCUGGAAUACCUACAUCUCUUAUGUUUUUUUAACAUUACAUAUUCACAAGCUUUACCAAUUCACGGAAAGGAUUCCUCUAGGAUUUUGGUGGAUCUCUUGAAGCACUAAGAACCUCAAGCAAAAAUGUAUGCGAUCUUUGUACUUUAAAAUUAAAGUAUUUCAACCAGGAGCAGUGGCUCAUGCCUGUAGUCCCAGCGCUUUGGGAGGCCAAGGCAGGAUGAUUGCUUGAGCCUUGGAGUUUGAGACUAGUCUGGCCAACAUAGCCAGACCCCGUUUCUUUAAAAGAAAAAAAAAAAAACAAUUAGCUGCAUGUGGUGGCACACAUGUAGUAUCAGCUUUGGGAGGCCCAGAUGGGAAGAUUGCUUGAUCUCAGGAGGUUGAGGCUGCAAUGAGCUAUGAUCAUGCCACUGCACUCCAGCCUGGGUGAUAGAGCAAGACCCUGUCUCAAAAAAAAUUUUUUUUAAUAGAUAAACAUUCAGGCAUUCCAAACUCCUAAUGUAUUGUCUACUAUUAAGAAUGCAUGCUGGCUGAGGCAGGAGUUCAAGACCAGCCUGGCCAACAUGAUGAAACCCCAUCUCUACUAAAAUACAAAGAUUAGCUGGGCCAGGUGGUGGGUACCUGUAAUCCCAGCUACUCAGGAGGCUGAGGUAGGAGAAUGUCUUGAACCUGGGAGGCAGAGAUUGCAGUGAGCCGAGAUCUCGCCACUGCAUUCCAGCCUGGGCAACAGAGUAAGACUCCAUCUCCAAAAAAAAA